RNAcentral lists this ribosomal RNA (360 nucleotides) under Triticum aestivum (bread wheat). RNAcentral describes it as "partial small subunit ribosomal RNA". Lineage: Eukaryota; Viridiplantae; Streptophyta; Magnoliopsida; Poales; Poaceae. The record is from RNAcentral.
AUGUUGGUGGAAAACAUGGUUACGAACGCACAUGUUGUUUCGUGUAUUCGUGACCUACAGUUUCUAAAAGGUAUAAAGUUCAUGUGCCUUAUUGUAGCAUAUAUCUCCCUCGCUUACUUUACAAAAAGAAGACAUACAUCUUCCUUUUUUCCAUGGAAGCAUCAUCGAAUUUUAAAGAGUCUGUUUCUAUACGCAUUUAAAGAUGAUAUUAUCGUAUAUUCUCAUUAUACUAUGAGCAUCGUCGAAUUAUACUAUGGUUUGAUAGCUAAUUUUCUCUUUGUUAUAAGGACAAAAAAGGCAUGCACAUACGUAUUAUAUAUGGAAGAUAACGAAAGAUUAGCCUUAUUUGGAAGGAUAUAA